This 522-nucleotide ribosomal RNA is filed under the name uncultured Glomus. RNAcentral describes it as "SSU rRNA". It matches the Rfam family "Eukaryotic small subunit ribosomal RNA", at positions 569 to 1092 of the family's 1831-position model. Lineage: Eukaryota; Fungi; Glomeromycota; Glomeromycetes; Glomerales; Glomeraceae. The record is from RNAcentral.
AGCAGCCGCGGUAAUUCCAGCUCCAAUAGCGUAUAUUAAAGUUGUUGCAGUUAAAAAGCUCGUAGUUGAAUUUCGGGGUUAGUAGGCUGGUCGUGCCACAGGUAUGCACUGGUCUUACUGAUUCCUCCUUCCUGAUGAACCGUAAUGCCAUUAAUUUGGUGUUGCGGGGAGUCUGGACUGUUACUUUGAAAAAAUUAGAGUGUUUAAAGCAGGCUAACGCUUAAAUACAUUAGCAUGGAAUAACGAAAUAGGACGUUCGAUCCUAUUUUGUUGGUUUCUAGGAUUGACGUAAUGAUUAAUAGGGAUAGUUGGGGGCAUUAGUAUUCAAUUGUCAGAGGUGAAAUUCUUGGAUUUAUUGAAGACUAACUACUGCGAAAGCAUUUGCCAAGGAUGUUUUCAUUAAUCAAGAACGAAAGUUAGGGGAUCGAAGACGAUCAGAUACCGUCGUAGUCUUAACCAUAAACUAUGCCGACUAGGGAUCGGAUGAUGUUAAUUUUUUAAUGACUCAUUCGGCGCCUUACG